Molecule: long non-coding RNA, 1156 nt
Organism: Andrographis paniculata
Lineage: Eukaryota; Viridiplantae; Streptophyta; Magnoliopsida; Lamiales; Acanthaceae
Exons: 4
Source: RefSeq, a predicted model, not a curated record
CACCAUAACAUUUAUACUCCUAUAAAGUUAUAUAUAAUUUUAUACUAAAAAUAAUUAUGAAGCAAAUACUACGUUAACAAAUAAUAAAAUUAAGGGUAAACUGUUUUUUUAGUCCCGUAACUAAACCCCUUUAUCAUUUUAGUCCCGUAAAUGGAGUAUGUCGCAAAUUAGUCCCAUAAGUGAAAAAUUUUCGCUGUUUUAGUCCUCCGGCGCCGAAGAUGCCCGCGUGGGACUAGUUUGCGAUAGGCUCCAUUUACGGGACUAAAAUGAUAAAGAGGUCAAAUUACGGGACAAAAAACAGUUUACCCUUAAAUUAAUUAUUAUUAAUUUUUAAAUAAAGCAAAGUAUAUUUUAAAAAAAUAAAAUAAAAUAAUACAUUUUCAAUUCAGUUAUGAAUUAACCCUAAAAAUAUACAUACCGCUGCUCACUCCCUUCUCUCUUCCCCUUCACCCCGUCCCUAUCCCCAAAUCCGACCGAUGUUGUCAUCCACCAGCCACAUCCACAACGGUCGCCCACAAGUUCUUUCUAUUUCUUCUUCUUCUUCUCCAUCUCCCAUUUAGCCAUUCUCUCUUUUUUCUUUUUUCUUUUUUUCCUUCAUCUUUCUCCUUCUUCUUCACCCAUCUGCUUCCCUGCUUCGGUUAUCCAUUCUGCUUCUGCACUUCAAUGAUUAUUAAUGUGACCGAUAAACUAUGCGUAGAGUAAUCAUCGAAACAUCGAAGUCUCUGUCCAUCGCGCCUGCCGCCGAUCUCAACCAUUGUCAACCGCCCAGAUAUGUGCACAUGAGGGUUCGGAGCUCGAAGCUAUCAGGGAAUCCUUGAAGACAACAAGAGAAUGCCAUAAUUCUAAGUUAAUUGGUGAUACUACCAAUUUUUAAAGUCUUUGUCACGGAUGUUAUGGUUCCGAAAACUCCACUUAUACUUCCAAAAAAUGCUAGAACAAAGAUCAUUGCUGAGCUGGUCCGCCAACCUUGAUUGCUUUCUUUGUGAUUCUACGAUCAACGAGCUUGGUCGUCUUUAUUAGUCGUUCUUAGUUGGCAUUAAAAUAGUAUUACUGUUUGGUACUAGAUUGAUUUGUUUAUGUAUUAUAUUUUUAAUUUGGGGAUCGUAUAUUACUUGACUAUCAGGUUGGUAUACGACACGGUUGUAGUUGAGUAUGA